RNAcentral lists this ribosomal RNA (926 nucleotides) under Hohenbuehelia grisea. Its description in RNAcentral is "LSU rRNA". It matches the Rfam family "Eukaryotic large subunit ribosomal RNA", at positions 37 to 963 of the family's 3401-position model. Lineage: Eukaryota; Fungi; Basidiomycota; Agaricomycetes; Agaricales; Pleurotaceae. The record is from RNAcentral.
AGCAUAUCAAUAAGCGGAGGAAAAGAAACUAACAAGGAUUCCCCUAGUAACUGCGAAGUGAAGCGGGAAAAGCUCAAAUUUGUAAUCUGGCGGUCUUUGGCCGUCCGAAUUGUAAACUAGAGAAGUGUUAUCCGCGCUGGACCGUGUACAAGUCCCCUGGAAUGGGGCGUCAUAGAGGGUGAGAAUCCCGUCUUUGACACGGACUACCAGGGCUAUGUGAUGCGCUCUCAAAGAGUCGAGUUGUUUGGGAAUGCAGCUCAAAAUGGGUGGUAAAUUCCAUCUAAAGCUAAAUAUUGGCGAGAGACCGAUAGCGAACAAGUACCGUGAGGGAAAGAUGAAAAGAACUUUGGAAAGAGAGUUAAACAGUACGUGAAAUUGCUGAAAGGGAAACGCUUGAAGUCAGUCGCGUUAGCGAGGGAUCAGCCUUACUUUUGUGGGGUGUACUUCCUCGUUGAUGGGUCAGCAUCAGUUUUGGCUGCUGGAUAAAGGCUAGGGGAAUGUGGCAUCUUCGGAUGUGUUAUAGCCCCUGGUUGGAUACAGUGGCUGGGACUGAGGAACUCAGCACGCGCAAGUUGUGCUUAGGAUGCUGGCAAAAUGGCUUUAAUCGACCCGUCUUGAAACACGGACCAAGGAGUCUAACAUGCCUGCGAGUGUUUGGGUGGAAAACUCGAGCGCGUAAUGAAAGUGAAAGUUGAGAUCCCUGUCGUGGGGAGCAUCGACGCCCGGAGCAGAACUUUUGGGACGCAUCCGCGGUAGAGCAUGUAUGUUGGGACCCGAAAGAUGGUGAACUAUGCCUGAAUAGGGCGAAGCCAGAGGAAACUUCUGGUGGAGGCUCGUAGCGAUUUCUGACGUGCAAAUCGAUCGUCGAAAUUUGGGUAUAGGGGCGAAAAGACUAAUCGAACCAUCUAGUAGCUGGGUUCCUGCCG